This 429-nucleotide ribosomal RNA is filed under the name uncultured bacterium. RNAcentral's name for it is "bacterial SSU rRNA". It matches the Rfam family "Bacterial small subunit ribosomal RNA", at positions 355 to 776 of the family's 1533-position model. The record is from RNAcentral.
UGGGGAAUAUUGGACAAUGGGCGCAAGCCUGAUCCAGCAAUGCCGCGUGUGUGAAGAAGGCCUUAGGGUUGUAAAGCACUUUCAGUGGGGAGAAAGUUAUGUGUUCUAAUACCAUAUGUAAUUGAUGUUACCCACAGAAGAAGCACCGGCUAACUCUGUGCCAGCAGCCGCGGUAAUACAGAGGGUGCAAGCGUUAAUCGGAAUUACUGGGCGUAAAGGGUGUGUAGGUGGUUGUAUAAGUUAGAUGUGAAAUCCCCGGGCUCAACCUGGGAAUUGCGUUUAAAACUGUAUAGCUAGAGUAUUGUAGAGGAUAGUGGAAUUUCCAGUGUAGCGGUGAAAUGCGUAGAUAUUGGAAGGAACACCAGUGGCGAAGGCGACUAUCUGGGCACAUACUGACACUGAGACACGAGAGCAUGGGGAGCAAACAGG